CACCGUAGCAAAGGGGAGUAACUUCCUUAGCCGGUUUAUCGUCAUUACGAUGCAAUCGCAUCCGGUAGCCGGGCAACCUUGAACUUAUACCCGAUGGUACAUUUUCUGUGUUGUAAGUGAGACCUUGCCAGAAGG
This 135-nucleotide unclassified non-coding RNA is filed under the name Photorhabdus asymbiotica. Lineage: Bacteria; Pseudomonadati; Pseudomonadota; Gammaproteobacteria; Enterobacterales; Morganellaceae. The record is from RNAcentral.